This 816-nucleotide ribosomal RNA is filed under the name Kurthia gibsonii. RNAcentral's name for it is "bacterial SSU rRNA". It matches the Rfam family "Bacterial small subunit ribosomal RNA", at positions 68 to 870 of the family's 1533-position model. Lineage: Bacteria; Bacillati; Bacillota; Bacilli; Caryophanales; Caryophanaceae. The record is from RNAcentral.
GAUGACGAGUAGCUUGCUUCUCAGAUUUAGCGGCGGACGGGUGAGUAACACGUGGUCAACCUGCCCUACAGAUCGGGAUAACUCAGGGAAACCUGGGCUAAUACCGGAUAAUCCUUCGAAUCACAUGUUUUGAAGUUGAAAGGCGCUUCGGCGUCACUGUCGGAUGGGCCCGCGGUGCAUUAGCUAGUUGGUGGGGUAACGGCCUACCAAGGCAACGAUGCAUAGCCGACCUGAGAGGGUGAUCGGCCACAUUGGGACUGAGACACGGCCCAGACUAAUACGGGAGGCAGCAGUAGGGAAUCUUCCACAAUGGACAAAAGUCUGAUGGAGCAACGCCGCGUGAGUGAUGAAGGUUUUCGGAUCGUAAAACUCUGUUGUAAGGGAAGAACAAGUACGUUAGGAAAUGAACGUACCUUGACGGUACCUUAUUAGAAAGCCACGGCUAACUACGUGCCAGCAGCCGCGGUAAUACGUAUGUGGCAAGCGUUGUCCGGAUUUAUUGGGCGUAAAGCGCGCGCACGUGCUUUCUUAAGUCUGAUGUGAAAGCCCACGGCUCAACCGUGGAGAGUCAUUGGAAACUGAGGGACUUGAGUGCAGAAGAGGAUAGUGGAAUUCCAAGUGUAGCGGUGAAAUGCGUAUAGAUGUCGGAUGAACACCAGUGACGAAGCGACUGUCUGGACCAGUAACUGACACCUGAAGCGUCGGAAUCCUAGAGCAGUAAACACGAUAGAUACCCUGGGUCAUGCCACGACCCUAACCAUAGCUGCCAGAUGUAAGGGGAUUCCGCUCUGUAGCUGCAGCUAAGCCUUAAGACUC